RNAcentral lists this ribosomal RNA (1141 nucleotides) under Escherichia coli. Its description in RNAcentral is "partial 23S ribosomal RNA". It matches the Rfam family "Bacterial large subunit ribosomal RNA", at positions 381 to 1529 of the family's 2925-position model. Lineage: Bacteria; Pseudomonadati; Pseudomonadota; Gammaproteobacteria; Enterobacterales; Enterobacteriaceae. The record is from RNAcentral.
AAAAAUGCACAUACUGUGAGCUCGAUGAGUAGGGCGGGACACGUGGUAUCCUGUCUGAAUAUGGGGGGACCAUCCUCCAAGGCUAAAUACUCCUGACUGACCGAUAGUGAACCAGUACCGUGAGGGAAAGGCGAAAAGAACCCCGGCGAGGGGAGUGAAAAAGAACCUGAAACCGUGUACGUACAAGCAGUGGGAGCACGCUUAGGCGUGUGACUGCGUACCUUUUGUAUAAUGGGUCAGCGACUUAUAUUCUGUAGCAAGGUUAACCGAAUAGGGGAGCCGAAGGGAAACCGAGUCUUAACUGGGCGUUAAGUUGCAGGGUAUAGACCCGAAACCCGGUGAUCUAGCCAUGGGCAGGUUGAAGGUUGGGUAACACUAACUGGAGGACCGAACCGACUAAUGUUGAAAAAUUAGCGGAUGACUUGUGGCUGGGGGUGAAAGGCCAAUCAAACCGGGAGAUAGCUGGUUCUCCCCGAAAGCUAUUUAGGUAGCGCCUCGUGAAUUCAUCUCCGGGGGUAGAGCACUGUUUCGGCAAGGGGGUCAUCCCGACUUACCAACCCGAUGCAAACUGCGAAUACCGGAGAAUGUUAUCACGGGAGACACACGGCGGGUGCUAACGUCCGUCGUGAAGAGGGAAACAACCCAGACCGCCAGCUAAGGUCCCAAAGUCAUGGUUAAGUGGGAAACGAUGUGGGAAGGCCCAGACAGCCAGGAUGUUGGCUUAGAAGCAGCCAUCAUUUAAAGAAAGCGUAAUAGCUCACUGGUCGAGUCGGCCUGCGCGGAAGAUGUAACGGGGCUAAACCAUGCACCGAAGCUGCGGCAGCGACGCUUAUGCGUUGUUGGGUAGGGGAGCGUUCUGUAAGCCUGCGAAGGUGUGCUGUGAGGCAUGCUGGAGGUAUCAGAAGUGCGAAUGCUGACAUAAGUAACGAUAAAGCGGGUGAAAAGCCCGCUCGCCGGAAGACCAAGGGUUCCUGUCCAACGUUAAUCGGGGCAGGGUGAGUCGACCCCUAAGGCGAGGCCGAAAGGCGUAGUCGAUGGGAAACAGGUUAAUAUUCCUGUACUUGGUGUUACUGCGAAGGGGGGACGGAGAAGGCUAUGUUGGCCGGGCGACGGUUGUCCCGGUUUAAGCGUGUAGGCUGGU